CCUCCCCCCCGUCAUCUCCCAGGGGGGUUGCGCCAGCAGAGAUGACGGUGGGGAUGGCGGCCACGGUGCGGAUGGUGAUGGUGAAGAUGAUGCACCGGGGAGCCCAGGUUUUGGGGCUGCCUCCCCCGGGGGCCGGCGGCGGGGGGGGAUCUGGGGGUGACGCCUCUGGGCGGCCCGUCCCGGCCCAUCCCACCCGUCCCGGCUGAUGCAACCGGUCGUGGCACGCAGGACCCUGGCCCCCCCGCCAUGCAGAAGACCCGGCCAGUGCUGGGGGCAGACACCAGGCCCCUCCAGGAGGAUCCAUCCCCCCGCCCUGCCUGGGCCAGUAAAGUCCAGUACAUCCUGGCCCAGCUGGGCUUCUCCGUGGGGCUGGGCAACGUCUGGCGCUUCCCCUACCUCUGCCACCAGAACGGGGGCGGUGCCUUCCUCCUGCUAUACCUGCUGCUCCUCUUCCUCCUGGGCAUCCCCCUGCUCUUCCUGGAGCUGGCGGCUGGGCAGUGCCUGCGUCAGGGCAGCAUCGGUGUCUGGAGGAGCAUCAGUCCCCGCCUGGCUGGCAUUGGGCUGGCCAGCUGCUUGGUGUGCAUGUGUGUGGCGCUGUACUACAACGUGAUUAUCGCCUGGAGCCUCAUCUACCUCGCCCGCUCCUUCCAGCAUCCCCUGCCCUGGCAGAGCUGCCCCAGCGCCGGCCCCAACCGCACAGAACCCGAGUGCGCCCUGAGCUCACCCACCACCUAUUUCUGGUACCGGCAGACACUGGACGUCACCCCCGAGAUGGGGGUUGGGGGGGGGCUUCAGCCAGCCUUGGUGGGGGGGCUCCUGGGGGCCUGGGCCCUGGUGGGGGCCUCCCUGCUCAAAGGCAUCAAGUCCUCGGGAAAGGUGCUGUAUGUGAGCACCCUCUUCCCCUACGUCGUCCUCUUCUGCCUCCUGGUGCGGGGGCUGCUGCUCGAGGGGGCCCCCGAGGGCAUCCGCAUCAUGUUCACCCCCAAGGUGUCGGCGUGGGGCACGGGCCAGGCCUGGCGGCAAGCGGCCACCCAGGUCUUCUUCGCGCUGGGGCUGGGCUUCGGCAGCGUCAUCGCCUACGCCAGCUACGGCGCGCGCCGCGGCGACUGCCACCGCGACGCCGUGCUGGUGGCCGGGCUCAACGCCCUCACCUCCCUCCUGGCCACCCUCGUCGUCUUCGCCGUCCUGGGCGCCCGUGCCACCCGCCGCACGCGGCACUGCCUCCACAGGAACGUGGAGUUGGUGUCGCGGGCACUGGUGGCGGGGGGGCUGCCUGAGACUGCCCGGCCCCCCAGGAACCUCACGGCCUUGGCGGCCCCCCAGUACAGUGCCUGGCUGAGGGGGCUGCCCCCAGCUCUGCGGGACACCCUGGGCCUCACCGACUGCUGCCUGGAGGAGGAGAUGAACAAGGUGAUGAAACCCAGAAAUUCACUCAACAUUAGAGUCCGAUGUAACUGUUCAGCAGGGGGUGGAAGGCCCGGGCUUGGCUUUCAUCGUCUUCACGGAGACGCUGACGCUGCUGCCGGUGGCCCCACUCUGGUCGUCCCUCUUCUUCCUCACGCUGCUGGGGCUGGGGCUGGGCACCAUGCUGGGCAUCGCCCAGGCCGUGCUCACGCCUCUGCUCGACGCCUUCCCCGUCCUGCGCCGCCGCCGCGCUCUGCUCACCGUGCUGUGCUGCAUCGGGGGCUUCGUGCUGGGGCUGCCCUUCGCACAGCGCUCCGGCAGCUACCUGGUGGCCGCUUUCGAUGACUACGUGGCCACACUGCCGCUGCUGGCCGUGGCCGCCUGCGAGGCCGUGGCUGUGGCCUGGGUCUAUGGGGCCGAGAGGUUUCUGGCUGUCGUGCGGGAGGUGACGGGCCAUCGGCCGUGGCGGCUCUACGGGCCCCUGUGGCGUUUUGGCAGCCCCGGGGCCCUGCUGGCUCUGCUGGGGG
Tyto alba (common barn owl) is the source of this 1931-nucleotide RNA transcript. It is a transcript of the gene named sodium-dependent neutral amino acid transporter B(0)AT2-like, with no coding region annotated. The record is from RefSeq and is a predicted model, not a curated record. Lineage: Eukaryota; Metazoa; Chordata; Aves; Strigiformes; Tytonidae. The transcript is spliced from 11 exons.